Capra hircus (goat) is the source of this 1614-nucleotide long non-coding RNA. Lineage: Eukaryota; Metazoa; Chordata; Mammalia; Artiodactyla; Bovidae. The record is from Ensembl.
GGGGAGGCUGGGGCGGGGUGGGAUGCGUGGCAGGAAGGAGCAGGGCGGUUUGCGGAGAUGGCGUCAGUGAUGCUGGCUUUGUGGGGAAGCCUUGCUCUGGGUCCCGCUUCGUGCCUGGCUGGCUCCGGCUCCCCUCUCCCUGGCCGUGGACUACGGCCGUGCCAGUCUCCUGCCAUCAUCUCAGAGCUGGAGAGGACUGAGGGACCCCGAGCGUCAUGUUAAGGUGAAGCAGAGAGGCUCAGUACUGAACAUGCUAAGGAAGCUGGACAAAAUCAGGUUCAGAGGUCACAAGAGAGAUGACUUCCUCGAUCUAGCUGAGUCUCCGAAUGCUUCGGACACCGAAUGCGGAGACGAGAUUCCCCUGAAGAUCCCUCGGACCUCGCCCCGGGACAGCGAGGAGCUCAGGGACCCUGCUGGUCCAGGGACCCUCAUCAUGGCUGCAGGAGUCCAGGACUUCAACCGGACAGAGAUCGAUCGCUUGAAUGAGAUCAAAGGUCACCUGGAAAUCGCCUUAUUGGAAAAGCACUUCUUACGUGAGUGCCUGUUGCGGGGGUGGGGGUGGGGCAGCAGGCAGAGGGGACAGUCUUGCAGGAGUACAGCCGGGUCACACAGGGGUCACAGUCGGGCCGGGUUGCCGGCCCGGGUCGUUGGCCUCCACCAGCAGCUGGUAGCUGGCCUCUUCCUCCCGGUCCACCACCGCCCGGGUGCGCACCACGCCCGAGCGCUCGUCGAUCUCAAAGACGCCGCGCGCGCCCUCCAGCAAGCGGUAGCGCAUGUUGGCGUUGGAAGGCGCGUCGCCGUCGGUGGCGCGGAUGGUCAGCACUUCGUAGCCCACCUCGAGGUUCUCGCGCACGCGCUCGCGGUACUCCGACUGCUCGAAGACGGGGCUGUGGUCGUUGGUGUCGCUGACCGUGACGGUGAGGUAGGUGGCGGCGGAGCGCCGCGGCGAGCCGUGGUCCACCGCACUCACCUUGAGUACGUGCGUGUCCUUGGUCUCGCGGUCCAGCGGGCGGGCGGUGCUCACCAAGCCCGUGUCCGAGUCGAUGAGGAAGUAGCCAUUGGAGCGCUCAUCAAACAGCGCCUCCAUCUGGUAGCCGAGGCGCCCCGCCUCGCCCUCGUCGGGAUCGUGCGCUCGCAGCUCGAUGACCGCGGUGCCGGCGGGCUCAUUCUCGGGCACCGACACCUGGUAGCUGGGCAGCUGGAACUGCGGGGUAGUGCUGCCGCCAGCGCCCCGCCGGGCCCGCCGCGCCGCCCCCGCCCCGGCCUGAGGCAGGCCUGGCGGCGGCGGCGACUGCGACGGCAAUGGGGAAGGCGUCCCCGAGGCCGCCUCCAGCGCCAGCUCCACCCGGACGGUGCCUGCUGCGCGCCGCAGGGCACAGAGCAGGAGCAGGCGGGCCGAGCCCCCGGGCGGCAGGCAGACAGGGCGGCGUGGGCAGCGGGAACCGGGGCGCGGCGGGCAGCUGCAGGCGGGGAACGUGGUCAACGCGGCCAGCGCCGAGUGCAGCGUGGCCCCGCCGCCGCCAGGGGCCGGGAAGCACAGCAUCGCGCCGGGGCCAGGCACCGCUAGCACAGCCCGCGCGCGCAGCUCGGCGCCGAGAGCCCGUCGGCCCCGGG